UGUCCACGCGGCGGAAGCAGCACAAGAAACAUUUAGAGACCCACGAGGGACGCCGCAGGAGAAUAUUCUGCCUCUACUGUCUGCCUCCGAACGACCCAUCAGAGCCGUACGUGAAAGAAUCAGUCAAAUAUCCAUUCGACAAAUUCCCCCAAUACUGGUACGCUUCAGAAGAGUCCCUACGCCUCCACAAGAAAAGAAAACACCCCUACGCUGCGAUGUUCAACUACAACUGGUUUGGUACCUGGGGUGACUCCAUGCCGAACAGUUAAAAGUUAAAACUCAGGUAAUAGUAGUUUUAGUAGUUUUCCCAGCGGUGAAACUGGCAACACUGGGUGUUUACGCGUUUCGGACCGCGGUGUGAAACACUCAGCAAUUAUUGAACGGUUUUUUUUCGUAUGUGCGGUGCGAAUGGUCAAAGGAUAAUUUGUAGUGGGUUGAUUCGGUCAGAUACUUAAUGGAACUCCAAAAAACAUAACCCUCCUUCUGGCGUAGUCCCGUAAAAAGGACUGUUUUUGCAUAUUACAGUCCGAAUUGACCCAUUACAAAAAAAUCACGGGCGCUUCACACCGCGAAAGGUCACACCGCGGUCCGAAUCAGUCGUGGUGCGAAACGCGUAAGACCCACUGCCGUAUUUUUGCACUGGUAUCUUUGUAUAGUAAGUUUUAGCUGAUCGAUUGUAAGUUAUUUUUAUGAUUGGAUUUUAAUUGGAAAAGAUGUAAUUUUUAACUGAUUUAAUUUGUAAGUCCAUUUGAAAUUAAAUUAUACUCAAACGUAUGCAUGGGAAUAAAAUUUUGAUUAUGGUAAGAUAAAAGACAUUCUGUAUAUGUAGGUACUCGAAAACGUAGGGUCUUCUAGCGGAAAUAACUAAAUAAUAAAUGUCUACCACCGAUCCUUAAAGUCGACGACUGCCAUAACGAUCGACUUACAUCCUAGAACAAAAUAACUAGAAAAAUAUACUUUAAUUUUCAGGGGUUAUUCCCAUUUACCCCCGUGGGGGUGGUAACUGGGAAUUUAUUUACAAAAAUAUCCCACUCUCCCCCGCUUGUGAAAAAUUAGUAAUGAUACAAUAAAAAUAAUAACACAAAGUAGCGUCUAUACGUCAUAGCAGACUUAUCAACUCGGAAAGGGAUCAACACUGUAUCGCCUUUCGCGAGCUGUCAUCUUCGCGCGCUGUCAACCGCGAGGCGUAUAAAGAUGUCCAACACUGAACCGUCCCAGCUAUGAAAUUUUCAGAAAUACUCGAUUAUUAGUUCCGAUUUUUGCCACGUUGGACAACCAUAGGCAAUACACGGACCGCUUGAAGCAGUCAGGGUCGACAGCUUCAAGCUGCGACUGCACAGUGAACUGCAGAGUUCUAUGGACGCACAUACACGAACCGCUCGAGCAGUUGCAACUGAUUUGGGCGGUCGACAGCACGGUGAACUUUCAUCGUGCGGUCAAGCAGUCGCCAGCCAUACACUGACUGCUCGAGCUGUCGACAGCUCUCGCGCAGUUACCUCCGCCCACUUUCUUCAUUCCACGGCGCGCGCGUUUGUGAUUUGUUGAGCAAUUAAUACCAACUGCUCGAGCAGUUAUCACUGGCAGCUUCAAGCAGUUGACUCUUGACUACAAGAGUGUUCCGUGUAUGUUGAUCACUGACUAACUGCUCAAGCUGUCCAUGUAUGGCGGGCCAUAUAUUCACAUGAGGGCGCUACUAUCAAUACGGAUUGUUAGUUUUUGAUUUUUGCCACUUGACGUUUUAAAAUCGCUUGCGUUACGGUGCGGAUAAGUGUGCGUUGCAGUAUGGAGUUUCAUACAAAGAAUACUGACCGCGUCGAGCUGAUACGGUUACGAUCCCUUUCCGGGUUGAUAAAUGUCCUUAUAAAAGAACGCGAUACUCAACAACUGUCCAGUUUUAUUUAUUUGUUCAACUAUUUGACGGAAGUGGGGGAGACUGGGACUUUGUAAACAAAUUCCCAUUUGCCCCCUGAUGGUGGCAGAUGGGAAUGAGCGCUUUUCCGGUAGAACGCGCCUACGUUUGAAAAGAAAUUGCUAAAGACUGUAGUUCGCCUUUACCAUCGGUGUUGAUAGCAUAAAAAAUAUGAACAUAUAGAAGUCAUAAGGGCCAGUAGUGUGCACGUUUUUUUAUGUAUUGUCAUCACAAAAUAAUAAUAAAAUAUCACAGAUAAUUUAUGGUUUGAUUAAUAAAUAAAUGAGAGCCAAAUUAGAAAAAUAGAAUAAAUAAAAUUGUCUAAUUUUAUCAAUAAAAUUGUAAGAUGUCCUUUUACUUUGGGAGAUUUUGAAAAAUUUUAGUUUUUUAAUUGGAUAACAAAUACAUUCCUGAAAAAUGUAAUGCUUUCCAUUAAUUAAUAAAAAAAAUUCUUGUUUGAGCCAUAAUUGUAAACAAAGUAUUUUAUCUAUGUAAAUAGAUGUUUAAGUUGCCUUAUUUACAAUUUCAAAUUGUAUCGGCGACAUCACAUAAAACUAUACAGUGGCAUCUUAUGUUCUAACUCGUGUUUUAAUUAAUUUAUGAGUUAGUUUAAUGUUACAUUUUGUAACAAACGUCUGAUUCGAUAGUUUACAGUGUGUUUACAUUUAUGGCUGAUUUUUAAAUGUAUAUUUCAAGUUUACGUGGACAUAUGACUAAUAUAGACAUCAAAUCUUCAACUUUUUCCAAUAAUUUAAGCAUUAGAAGAAUCCAAGACAUAGUCUUUGAAAUAAUAAAAAUGUAAACAUUCACAAUGCAUGACAAGAUCACAAGUUAAAUAUUAUAAUCAAACACAUGUACAAAACGACGUAUACCAGUAUUUUUAUAAGAAUUUUAAUGCAUUUACUAGCUAGGUAUAUUUUUAAUGCUUAUAGGGAUGGAAGAUUGCAAUUUAUAUGUAUAGUGAUUAACUGGAUCAGUGCGUAUGGUAUGGGAGAGGUAACAUAGACUUAUGACGUAACAGAGUUCAUUUUUUCCACAACGAGGAAGCUCGGCCUGUAUCUCACCUGAUGGUAAGUGACGAUCAGGCCGAAGGUGGAAGCGAGCUUCACCCGGAAUCCUCAACCACGGAGGAACUGGCUAUCUUACCUCUAACUGCCGGAACACAACAAUGUUGUUAACAUUGUUGUUAUGGCGACAGACUUAGGUAAGAUGGUGGUACCUAGACAGGCGGACUUAGAACAUGCCCUACCACCAACCAAACCGAACAGAAAAAUCUGCCCCCACUGGGAAUCGAACCCGGGACCUCUGCGUCUGAAGCACAUUUGAAGUCUCGCUGACGUUUUACAUCAUAAAAACUUCAGGCACAGACUCAGUUAAACGCUAGACAUAUUGUGGUUCAAAUUUCGGUGACAUACGCUUUAUUAGUGUCUUUAAAUGUUAGGUUAUUAUGUGUCUUAAAUAACUAAAAGCUAGAAAGCUAUGUGCUUUUUGAUAUGAUAAAUCAAAUAAUCUUCCUUCUGACUUCCAAGUGGUAUUACUAGAUCAGCUGUUCAAAAAAUAAAUGAAAACAAGUAAAAAUCAACGAUUUAUCGGUCUCACCAGAGUAAAUACAAAUGAGUAGGUCAUCUUAGGGGCAACUCCCCGCUAAUCAACGCUAAAUUUUGUCAGUGUGUGCGUGCACGCCGCAUACGUAUUGGCGCGCUUACAUACAAACCGCACUCGGUGCGUUUCUAUGAAGAUGACCUACUCAUUUGUAUUUACUCUGGUCUCACCCCCGAUUUCUGAAUUGAAAACUAUGGGAGCGGCACCCAUACUUCAGGAACUGACUGAGUUAACUACUAGUCUAAAGCCUGGUCUGUGAGCACGUAGAAUCCCGUCCAAUGACCCCAAGCUACCCAUCCUUAUCGCUCGCGCGUAAUUAGAUUGCUGUCGCGACUGUGCGACGCGCGCCCGCAGUGAGUGUGCGAGCGCGACAGCAACAUAAUUACGUGCGAGCGACAAGGAUGGGCAGCUUGGGGUCAUUGGACGGGAUUCUACGUGCUCACGGACCAGGCUUUAGCUGGAAAUCGAUAUAAAUCAGUUAUUGAUGAGUGUCACAAACUUACAGAGAAAUUAUGUCGGUUCAGAACAGCCUAUCUAGUAGUACAUAGUAAAUUUUGCGGAAAAGCUUCUGUAGUUCUGAGCGCUAACAUUUUUAUAUGAUUUUAAUAAUCGUGGCAAUUCUUUUGUAUCCCUUUAGAUGUAUUCCACUUUAAAACUUAGUUAUAAAUGUCUAAAGUUGUUCAAUUUGCCUUAACUUUUCGCCUUAAGCCUUAAACUAAAUGUGAUUGAAUAAAUGAGAUCUGUAGUAAUAAAUUGUCAUUGAGCUAACUGCGCACUUCGUUGGAACGCGACUUGUAAGUGUAUGCCGGAUUAUACAGCGCCCUUAUCGGAAACGUUCAAGAACUAAAAUUCUCAUAAUUUUUUUAACGCGCUCACUAGUUAACUACCACGUUUGAUGUAAACUCACACUCGGCCCACAGAGCAGUGAUGUGACGUCACGGCUGCCAGGUGCGCAGUUACCAGCUUUUUAGCAUAGCAGCUGUAUGUGUUCAGUGUGGAAGAAUAUUCUGGAGGUACUCUAGUGCCAAAAAUGGCUGAUCGUUGCCUUUAGCUAUUUUAUUUAUUAAGACAAUAGUAGAAAAGAAUUGCCACCAUUGUAUCUGUUUCAAAAUUGAUAAUGAUAGUAUUCAUCAUUAUUAUAUUUAUAAGUUAUCUUGAACAAAUGUUAAAAUGUCACUGGUAUAAAAUCGCAGUAAGAGCGCUUUCACAUUAGGGCGUUAGAAGCGCGACAGCAGCGCGGCAGCGGCGUUUUUAUAAUGUGAAGGCUCCGCUGUCACAUAGUAUGAAAUUUUCGGCAGCGCGUCGGUCGCGCGUUUGUCGCGCUGCUAAAUCGCCUAAAUGUGAAAACGCUAGUAUUUUUAAACUACCUGUUAAAAUCACAAGUGAUCUCCGCCAUCUCUAGUUUUAGCCCGUUCAAUGGAAACCAAAUCCAACCAGUAUUACGAUUAUAUUUUAUGUUUAGUUUUACUUAUUUUUAGGACUCCAUUUUAACAUGUUCUUCUCUGGGACUCGAAACACUUGCAAUAUUUCACGUUUCGGGCACAAAAGUAUUAACUUUUUUUUAUUUAAUAAUUUAUUUAUUUAUCGGUAUGAUGAUUGACAUAUCUAACAUCUCUUUACUGAUUUUAUUUUAUUUUUAAUCAAUCUAAAGACUUAGAAGUGGCCAAAAAUGAUUUCAUUGAUUUACAAUUUUAAAGAUUUUCGCUUUUCUUUUUACCGCAAGACAAUUUUCACGAUUAUCAUAAUCUUUUGAAUAGUAAUCUACUGUGAAAUUGAUUUUUUAAUAAUAAUUAGACUAUAAGUCUAAAAUACAUUAGCUAUUUUACUCAUUCGAGUCCCACAAGUUUUUAUUUCAAGCAAUAUUAUUGAAUCAGUGUUCUUCCAACGGAGUCUUGAAAUUAUAACACACCAACACAAUAUUAUCGUCACGUUUGAUUGGUAUUUUAUUUACUUUUAAGUCUUUUGGGUUAAUUUUAACAUAAAUACUGGUUUUAGUAGUACUGGCUUCUCGUGAUAAACAUUGGCAUCUUGUGUAAUUGUAAUAGAGUCUAUUUUGCGACGAAAAUAUAGUGGCCAGCUGUACCUACCAUGAAACGACGAGUUUAUUUUGAUUUGGGACUUAGAGACUUCAGUGUAAGGUUCAAUAUCAAAUCAAGUCAUUUGGUGGUUCGUUCGUUCGUUCGUUUCAGCCGAAUGACGUCCACUGCUGGACAAGUGGUAAUAGUAAUUAUUUACUAGUUCUAGAUGUCCAUUCACAAUAAUACCCUAAAUAUUGGUAUUAAUAGCUAAAUUGUCACUGCCAAAGCAUCUUAAACGUUUAAUGAUUUUUAAACUAAUUUUCUUGACCCAAAAGACUUGAUUUUAUGCAAUUUUAUAAACGAUUUCCAAAUAAAAUGUCUACCCAGUUGAACGUGAUUUAAAAAAUGCGGGUAGUUUUAAGUUAAUUGUAAAUAAUUAGGCAGCUAAUGUGUACUUAGAAUAGGCAAAUCAUGAGAUUUCUUACACGUAGUAAAUUACUAACGUAAACACCAAUCUAUAAUUAAUAUUUAUGCACGUAAAUGCAGCGUAAUAAUGUAAACAACUGCUAUGGGCAAUCUAAUAGCAAGCUAAAAGCAGCUGUAAAGAGUCGCCAAGUAUCAAGACUUCUGAGUAGUACAUUAAAGUUUGUUGCGGGUCCAAUGACAGUUAACUUUCCCUCGGGACAAACUUGGCCUUCACUGGUUGGGUUUUGGCGGUCAAGCUGUAGAUCCUGGCUACACAGGAGUUGCAGCGGUGGGAAUAGCCGCUUCCUGGCUAUUACCGGACCUUAAACUAAAUACUAUAAUGAACAAUAUUAAAUUAAAUACUACAUGUUAUAAGCUUAUACUUGGCGAUUAUUAUGAAUAUUUUUUUAAUUAGGAAGUUGACACCAUUAUCCAAUCAUUCUGAGACACAGCUCAUUCAGAAACACUUUAGUAAAACUCAGUAAGUUUUUAAUUUGCUUAAAAAUCAUAUUACUAGCGAACUAAAAUUAUGGAAGUCGCGUUAAACAGCUCUUAAAAAGAAUGUCAAAUUGGUGUCAACUACCGUUAAAAAGAAACAAAUGCGAAAACAUUAUGCUGUAUCCAACUGUGUUCGUAUAUGUUCAUAUAAAAUCGUGCCUAGUAUUACAAAGACUGACGACAGGCCGUUUUUAUAUAGGGUCAUUAAUACCUCCUAUAUAUUAUUAUAUCCACAAUAAUAGUAUUAACCGUAGAAUUAAACGUAAAUACAUAUUUUUCCAAUGAAACUUAUUUUUGUAGUGAGGCAAAAUAUGUAAACAAAACUAGCCAUUUGUGUAAAUUGUAGUAUUUAAUGUAAACUUUAGUGGUUCAAUCGGUAUAUCGAAUAUACAUCUAUAGUCCGGUCGCCGAGCACGUAGAAUUUCGUCCAAUGUCCCCAAGCUACCCAUCCUUAUCGCUCGCGCGUAAUUAUAUUGCUGUCGCGACUGUGCGACGGGCGCCCGCAGUGAGUGUGCGAGCGCGACAGCAGUAUAAUUAGUUACGCGCGGGCGAUAAGGAUGUGUAGCUUGGGGUCAUUGGACAAAAUUCUGCGUGCUCGUCGACCGGGCUUUAAUUUAACUCAAAUUCAGUUCACUAAUAAAUCUAUUUUUGUCAACCAAGAAAAAAUUCACAAUUUCUUUUCUCAAAUAGAAAUAGAUUUUAAUUAAUUGUUAAAGUAAGCGAACAAAAUAUUCCAAGCUUAGUUUAAUAUUUUAUCAGUGAUUUUUUUUUACUAUAACAAUAACUUUCUGUUACUUCUAACUACUUAAAUACAACUUGCUAAAAAUCUUUGGACUAGGAGACUCCAGCAACUUUACUAUAGGUCUAGCUGUUAACUCAAUCAGUGCCUGAGCUAUGAGAGCGACACGGGAGGGCAUACAAGCAGAGUAAAUACAAAUGAGCAGGUCAUCUUCAUAGAAACGCACCGAGCGCGGUUUGUAUGUGAGCGCGCCAAUACGUAUGCGGCGCGCACGCACACACUGACAAAAUUCGGCGCAACCACGACUGGCUCCGUCAGUGUGUGCGUGCGCGCCGCAUACGUGUUGGCGCGCUCACAUACAAACCGCGCCCGUGCGUUUCUAUGAAGAUGACCUACUCAUUUGUAUUUACUCUGAUACAAGUCUCGCUGACGUUUGACGCCACAAAAUCUGCUGCGGCUGAGUUAAAUAAAUAAAAUACAUUUUCUAAUAAAUAGAAAGAGAUUGUUAUAGAUGAAUAAUUACAUAAUUAGGAAGCUGUAUUUGAAAAUAUUGUAUAUCGUAGCAUGUAUUAAAUCUUCUGUAGUAAAAACGUGCCCUAACUAAGCCCGGUCUCCGAGCACGUAGAAUUUUGUCCAAUGACCUCAAGCUACCCAUCGCGCGCGUAAUUAUGUUGCUGUCGCGCUCGCACACUCACUGCGGCCGCCCGUCGCACAGUCGCGACAGCAAUAUAAUUACGCGCGAGCGAUAAGGAUGGGUAGCUUGGGGUCAUUGGACGAAAUUCUACGUGCUCGGCAACCGGACUAUACCUACUUAUGAAUCAAAUACUCUAUUCUGUAGACCGUACCAACGUAAGUGUGAGACGAUUUUGUACAAGUACCUAUAUUGUAAAUAUACUGCAUUUUUUA
Long non-coding RNA from Ostrinia nubilalis (European corn borer), 8137 nucleotides. RefSeq lists it as uncharacterized. NCBI's taxonomy places the organism in Eukaryota, Metazoa, Arthropoda, Insecta, Lepidoptera, Crambidae. The record is from RefSeq and is a predicted model, not a curated record. The transcript is spliced from 2 exons.